Long non-coding RNA from Bombyx mori (domestic silkworm), 1010 nucleotides. RefSeq lists it as uncharacterized. The transcript is spliced from 3 exons. NCBI's taxonomy places the organism in Eukaryota, Metazoa, Arthropoda, Insecta, Lepidoptera, Bombycidae. The record is from RefSeq and is a predicted model, not a curated record.
AUUACGCCUAAAAUAUGUAACUAAUGAAUAUUUCAUCAUCAUGAUCAUCAUCUCAGCCUGUCCACUGUCCACUGCUGAACAUAGGCCUCUCCGACUGAUGUCCAGUGCGGCCGGUCCGUUACCACCUGCAUCCAACGUGACCCAGUGUUGACCCAGCAAUUUUCACCAGGUCGUCGGUCCAUCUGGUAGGUGGCCGUCCCACACUGCGUUUGCCACCCACAAACGUCCACUGCUGGGCAUAGGCCUGCCCCAAGCCUCGUCACAACGAUCUGUCUUGCGCUGCUUGCAUCUUUGCACAAACAAAAGUAAUUAAAUCGAAGCAAUACAUAAUUAUCGGGUGGAAUUUUGAAGCAAAAUUGUGAGAUAAUAUUAUUAUUAAAAAAACUGCGAUUCGUGUGAAUUUUAGUCAUCGAAUAACAAUUGCUCUCGUCAUCCGGGGUGUGCCCUGAAUAUUAUCAUUAACAGGAAAAAUUCGAUGUAUGUACCGAUAACCGAUUAUAAGUUAUCAUUGAUAAUGAUAGUCUCAUGACGGACCGUAGAAGGGGGGAAUCGAUCAGUGAUUCACAAAAUUCCAUAAAAAUAUCACACAAACGUAGGCGACUUAGUAAUUUGCUUAUAUAUAACGAGUACUAAAGCGGACAAUGGCCGACAACGAGAAUCCUUGCCCCGCUGAAGUUGCCAGUGAAAACGAAGUUGCUGAAAGCCAAGAAACUAGCGCGGGUGAAGAAGCCACCUCCAAUCAAACUGCCCCACCAUCAAAAGUUGAUCUACGUAAUAUGAUCGUUGUGCCACCUAAUUGCCCUGCUGGAUAUAAGAUGGGACCGGACGGGGUCUGUCGCGAGGUCUUCAAUUAAAACUUAUAAAAUUAAUUUACUCAUCUAUUAGCAUAAAUGAAACGUUUUCAAUUCAGUAUUAUUAAUGUGUCUUUUAUUGUAAUGUUGUAAUGUAAAAGUUUGCGUUCUGAUUUUUUGUGAAUCUUUAUGUUGUAUACAAUAAAUUUUGGUUAAUGA